GAUGAACGCUGGCGGCGUGCCUAAUACAUGCAAGUCGAGCGAACUGAUUAGAAGCUUGCUUCUAUGACGUUAGCGGCGGACGGGUGAGUAACACGUGGGCAACCUGCCUGUAAGACUGGGAUAACUUCGGAAACCGAAGCUAAUACCGGAUAGGAUCUUCUCCUUCAUGGGAGAUGAUUGAAAGAUGGUUUCGGCUAUCACUUACAGAUGGGCCCGCGGUGCAUUAGCUAGUUGGUGAGGUAACGGCUCACCAAGGCAACGAUGCAUAGCCGACCGGGGAGGGUGAUCGGCCAAACUGGGACUGAGACACGGCCCAGACUCCGACGGGGGGCAGAAGGAGGGAAUCUUCCGCAAUGGACGAAAGUCUGACGGAGCAACGCCGCGUGAGUGAUGAAGGCUUUCGGGUCGUAAAACUCUGUUGUUAGGGAAGAACAAGUACAAGAGUAACUGCUUGUACCUUGACGGUACCUAUCCAGAAAGCCACGGCUAACUACGUGCCAGCAGCCGCAGUAA
Molecule: ribosomal RNA, 513 nt
Filed under: uncultured bacterium
Lineage: Bacteria
Description: partial 16S ribosomal RNA
Rfam family: Bacterial small subunit ribosomal RNA
Source: RNAcentral